Molecule: ribosomal RNA, 671 nt
Filed under: Salmonella enterica subsp. enterica serovar Weltevreden
Lineage: Bacteria; Pseudomonadati; Pseudomonadota; Gammaproteobacteria; Enterobacterales; Enterobacteriaceae
Also listed under: 1 other name
Description: partial 23S ribosomal RNA
Rfam family: Bacterial large subunit ribosomal RNA
Source: RNAcentral
CAGGUUUACCUGUGUGACUGCGUACCUUUUGUAUAAUGGGUCAGCGACUUAUAUUCUGUAGCAAGGUUAACCGAAUAGGGGAGCCGGAGGGAAACCGAGUCUUAAUUGGGCGUUAAGUUGCAGGGUAUAGACCCGAAACCCGGUGAUCUAGCCAUGGGCAGGUUGAAGGUUGGGUAACACUAACUGGAGGACCGAACCGACUAAUGUUGAAAAAUUAGCGGAUGACCUGUGGCUGGGGGUGAAAGGCCAAUCAAACCGGGAGAUAGCUGGUUCUCCCCGAAAGCUAUUUAGGUAGCGCCUCGUGAAUUCAUCUCCGGGGGUAGAGCACUGUUUCGGCUAGGGGGCCAUCCCGGCUUACCAACCCGAUGCAAACUGCGAAUACCGGAGAAUGUUAUCACGGGAGACACACGGCGGGUGCUAACGUCCGUCGUGAAGAGGGAAACAACCCAGACCGCCAGCUAAGGUCCCAAAGUCAUGGUUAAGUGGGAAACGAUGUGGGAAGGCCCAGACAGCCAGGAUGUUGGCUUAGAAGCAGCCAUCAUUUAAAGAAAGCGUAAUAGCUCACUGGUCGAGUCGGCCUGCGCGGAAGAUGUAACGGGGCUAAACCAUGCACCGAAGCUGCGGCAGCGACGCUUAUGCGUUGUUGGGUAGGGGAGCGUUCUGUAAGCCUG